GGAGGCGUGGCUGAGUGGUUGAAGGCACCGGUCUUGAAAACCGGAAUCCGAGCAAUCGGAUCGGAGGUUCGAAUCCUCCCGCCUCCGCCA
RNAcentral lists this transfer RNA (90 nucleotides) under Candidatus Parcubacteria bacterium. RNAcentral describes it as "tRNA-Ser". It matches the Rfam family "tRNA". Rfam says of the family: Transfer RNA (tRNA) molecules are approximately 80 nucleotides in length. The record is from RNAcentral. Lineage: Bacteria; Candidatus Parcubacteria.